ACAACUUUCAACAACGGAUCUCUUGGUUCUGGCAUCGAUGAAGAACGCAGCGAAAUGCGAUAAGUAGUGUGAAUUGCAGAAUUCAGUGAAUCAUCGAAUCUUUGAACGCACAUUGCGCCCCUUGGUAUUCCAUGGGGCAUGCCUGUUCGAGCGUCAUUUGUACCUUCAAGC
RNAcentral lists this ribosomal RNA (171 nucleotides) under Epicoccum sp. SC-R-7. RNAcentral describes it as "5.8S ribosomal RNA". It matches the Rfam family "5.8S ribosomal RNA". From Rfam's summary of the family: 5.8S ribosomal RNA (5.8S rRNA) is a component of the large subunit of the eukaryotic ribosome. It is transcribed by RNA polymerase I as part of the 45S precursor that also contains 18S and 28S rRNA. Lineage: Eukaryota; Fungi; Ascomycota; Dothideomycetes; Pleosporales; Didymellaceae. The record is from RNAcentral.